Molecule: ribosomal RNA, 267 nt
Filed under: uncultured bacterium
Lineage: Bacteria
Description: partial 16S ribosomal RNA
Rfam family: Archaeal small subunit ribosomal RNA
Source: RNAcentral
UACCAGCACCCCGAGUGGUCGGGACGUUUAUUGGGCCUAAAGCAUCCGUAGCCGGUUCUACAAGUCUUCCGUUAAAUCCACCUGCUUAACAGAUGGGCUGCGGAAGAUACUAUAGAGCUAGGAGGCGGGAGAGGCAAGCGGUACUCGAUGGGUAGGGGUAAAAUCCGUUGAUCCAUUGAAGACCACCAGUGGCGAAGGCGGCUUGCCAGAACGCGCUCGACGGUGAGGGAUGAAAGCUGGGGGAGCAAACCGGAUUAGAAACCCGUA